This 238-nucleotide ribosomal RNA is filed under the name Bacillus cereus group sp. N24. RNAcentral's name for it is "partial 23S ribosomal RNA". It matches the Rfam family "Bacterial large subunit ribosomal RNA", at positions 1990 to 2227 of the family's 2925-position model. The record is from RNAcentral. Lineage: Bacteria; Bacillati; Bacillota; Bacilli; Caryophanales; Bacillaceae.
GCACGACAGGGGUAACGUUUUGGGCACUGUCUCAACCAGAGACUCGGUGAAAUUUUAGUACCUGUGAAGAUGCAGGUUACCCGCGACAGGACGGUAAGACCCCGUGGAGCUUUACUGUAGCCUGAUAUUGAAUUUUGGUACAGUUUGUACAGGUUAGGCGGGAGCCAUUGAAACCGGAGCGCUAGCUUCGGUGGCGGCGCUGGUGGGGUGCCGCCCGGCCUGUAUUGAAAUUCUAAGC